Long non-coding RNA from Helicoverpa armigera (cotton bollworm), 402 nucleotides. RefSeq lists it as uncharacterized. Lineage: Eukaryota; Metazoa; Arthropoda; Insecta; Lepidoptera; Noctuidae. The transcript has 3 exons. The record is from RefSeq and is a predicted model, not a curated record.
CGAGCCAUGACCUUCACCUGCGCAGAAGCGAUUUAUUGGUUUAUUGCCUUACUAGCUGUUGCCCGCGACUUCGUCUGCGUGGGCAAUAUAGAAUUUCCAAUUUCGUUUAUUUAAUCAUUCAUUGCUCAACCCCCGUAGGUGAUAGCGUGAUAAUAUAUAGCCUAUGUGUUGAACCGGCCCCCAGGUAAUAGUCAUGCAAAAUUUGAUUGAAAUCCAUGCAGUAUUUUUUGAGUUUAUCCGGGACAAACAUACAGACAAACAGAUAAACAGACAUACAGACAAAAAUUCUAAAAACUACAUAUUUGGCUUCAGAAUCGAUUAUGGAUCACCCCCCAAGUAUUCUUUAAAAAAAAUAUUCAAUGUACAGUUUUGACUUUCCUAUCAUUUUAUUAUAUGUAUAGA